This 253-nucleotide ribosomal RNA is filed under the name uncultured bacterium. RNAcentral's name for it is "partial 16S ribosomal RNA". It matches the Rfam family "Bacterial small subunit ribosomal RNA", at positions 524 to 776 of the family's 1533-position model. The record is from RNAcentral.
UACAGAGGUCCCAAGCGUUGUUCGGAUUCACUGGGCGUAAAGGGUGCGUAGGUGGUCGGGUAAGUCUGAUGUGAAAUCUCCGGGCCUAACCCGGAAACUGCAUCGGAUACUAUUCGGCUAGAGGGUUGGAGGGGGGACUGGAAUACUUGGUGUAGCAGUGAAAUGCGUAGAUAUCAGGAGGAACACCGGUGGCGAAGGCGGGUCUCUGGGCAGUAACUGACGCUGAGGAGCGAAAGCGUGGGGAGCGAACAGG